RNAcentral lists this ribosomal RNA (449 nucleotides) under uncultured bacterium. Its description in RNAcentral is "bacterial SSU rRNA". It matches the Rfam family "Bacterial small subunit ribosomal RNA", at positions 329 to 793 of the family's 1533-position model. The record is from RNAcentral.
UUCCAGACUCCUACGGGAGGCAGCAGUGGGGAAUAUUGCACAAUGGGGGGAACCCUGAUGCAGCGACGCCGCGUGAGUGAAGAAGUAUUUCGGUAUGUAAAGCCCUAUCAGCAGGGAAGAAGAAAUGACGGUACCUGAGUAAGAAGCACCGGCUAAAUACGUGCCAGCAGCCGCGGUAAUACGUAUGGUGCAAGCGUUAUCCGGAUUUACUGGGUGUAAAGGGAGCGCAGGCGGCACGGCAAGCCUGAUGUGAAAGCCCGCGGCCCAACCGCGGGACUGCAUUGGGAACUACCGGGCUGGAGUGCCGGAGAGGUAGGCGGAAUUCCUAGUGUAGCGGCGAAAUGCGUAGAUAUUAGGAGGAACACCAGUGGCGAAGGCGGCCUACUGGACGGUGACUGACGCUGAGGCUCGAAAGCGUGGGGAGCAAACAGGAUUAGAUACCCUAGUAG